RNAcentral lists this ribosomal RNA (1107 nucleotides) under uncultured Actinomycetes bacterium. Its description in RNAcentral is "bacterial SSU rRNA". It matches the Rfam family "Bacterial small subunit ribosomal RNA", at positions 28 to 1147 of the family's 1533-position model. Lineage: Bacteria; Bacillati; Actinomycetota; Actinomycetes. The record is from RNAcentral.
GACGAACGCUGGCGGCGUGCUUAACACAUGCAAGUCGAACGAUGAUGGAGGAGCUUGCUCCUCCGGAUUAGUGGCGAACGGGUGAGUAACACGUGAGUAACCUGCCCUUGACUCUGGGAUAAGCGCUGGAAACGGCGUCUAAUACCGGAUAUGACAACCGACGGCAUUGUCUGGUUGUGGAAAGAAUUUCGGUCAAGGAUGGACUCGCGGCCUAUCAGCUUGUUGGUGAGGUAAUGGCUCACCAAGGCGACGACGGGUAGCCGGCCUGAGAGGGUGACCGGCCACACUGGGACUGAGACACGGCCCAGACUCCUACGGGAGGCAGCAGUGGGGAAUAUUGCACAAUGGGCGCAAGCCUGAUGCAGCAACGCCGCGUGAGGGAUGACGGCCUUCGGGUUGUAAACCUCUUUUAGUAGGGAAGAAGCGAAAGUGACGGUACCUGCAGAAAAAGCACCGGCUAACUACGUGCCAGCAGCCGCGGUAAUACGUAGGGUGCAAGCGUUGUCCGGAAUUAUUGGGCGUAAAGAGCUCGUAGGCGGUUUGUCACGUCUGCUGUGAAAACUGGAGGCUCAACCUCCAGCCUGCAGUGGGUACGGGCAGACUAGAGUGCGGUAGGGGAGAUUGGAAUUCCUGGUGUAGCGGUGGAAUGCGCAGAUAUCAGGAGGAACACCGAUGGCGAAGGCAGAUCUCUGGGCCGUAACUGACGCUGAGGAGCGAAAGCAUGGGGAGCGAACAGGAUUAGAUACCCUGGUAGUCCAUGCCGUAAACGUUGGGAACUAGAUGUAGGGGCCAUUCCACGGUUUCUGUGUCGCAGCUAACGCAUUAAGUUCCCCGCCUGGGGAGUACGGCCGCAAGGCUAAAACUCAAAGGAAUUGACGGGGGCCCGCACAAGCGGCGGAGCAUGCGGAUUAAUUCGAUGCAACGCGAAGAACCUUACCAAGGCUUGACAUAUACCGGAAACGUGCAGAAAUGUACGCCCCGCAAGGUCGGUAUACAGGUGGUGCAUGGUUGUCGUCAGCUCGUGUCGUGAGAUGUUGGGUUAAGUCCCGCAACGAGCGCAACCCUCGUCCUAUGUUGCCAGCACGUAAUGGUGGGAACUCACAGGAG